UUAAUGCUUUUAUCGUUUAACUCAUUCGAUAACUGAUGUUUGUCUUUAUUGAUACGGGGACGUACAGUAAUGUCAUGAACUGGUGAGUAAUUUCUUGAUUAUGCAAUACCACCUAGGGAUAGGGGUAGGACGAUCAAUUGCGUUUAACUUCUGCUCUAUAAUGUUAUAUUAAUUGCUAGGGGAGGCUAGGGAUAGCAAGCCAGUAAUUAGUAUUAGGCUCUUUUCGCCGAGGGAUCGGGUUAAGGGUAGGCUAAGAAAGUUGCAUGACAAUUAAUUAAUCAAGCUAAUAAUUCAAGAGGAGUAAAUAAGAGAGAGCGAAUUAGAUGAAAUUGUAAACCCCCAACAACUCCAUUCAUCCAUUGUUUUCUUCUUGUCAUUUGAAUCAAUCUCUUUUGCAUGUUCAUAUUUUAUUUUAAUACUCAAUCCAUUAAUUGUUAUUUUCAAGUCUUACGAUUUUAAUUCACGCGAACGAUAAGGCCUUUCGAGUCUCUUGGGAAGAACGAUAUUGGGUUUUACCAAUUAUAUUACUUGAUACGAUUUGGUACGCUUGCCAAUCCGUUAACAGCCACCUUCCUCCAAGAUUUCGUCCAAAAUCUCUUAGAGAACCACCAAACACACCUUCCAUCACCAUUCAAACACCCAAAACCGUGACAACCUCCACCUUAUACCACCACAAUUUUGUUCGAAAACAGGUAGGCUUUGUUUUUACACCAAGAGGGGGGGGGUGAAUUGGUGAUGUUUCAAAAACAAAAUCUUUUGGCAAUCUUUUAUCAAAAAAAUAAAGCUUUUUUUAUCUUUCUUGAAAUGCAAGUAAUGAAAGUUUAUAUGCAGCGGAAAAAACGUAGUUGAUUACAUAACAAAUAAAGUCGACUGGAAUUAAAGAAUGUAGGGAUAGAGAAAAUCAAACACUGGUUUUUAUACUGGUUCGGCCAACAAUGCCUACAUCCAGUGUCCUUCCAACCUAGGAAGCAAAUGCACUAUAAUGGUUGCGGUUUUUACAACAAGGAAUUUAUAGAAGACCUCACGUCAAAAAUAUAAAUCUCCUCUCUAACCCAAAACCAAAAUAUAGCUGCAAUAACCAAUACUAGACUUGCAGCAAGAAUCCCCUCUUCUGCAAUCUGAACCCACAUCGAAAAAUCCUCAACGUGUAACUGCUGUAUCACAACAGGUCCAAUUCCAGCACACUUCACAUGAUGCCAAGCCUCAACACAACAGUCUUCACAGGAUGCCAAGCCUUCACAAAAUGCAGCAGUCUUCACAGGAUGCC
Molecule: long non-coding RNA, 1267 nt
Filed under: Vigna radiata
Lineage: Eukaryota; Viridiplantae; Streptophyta; Magnoliopsida; Fabales; Fabaceae
Description: long non-coding RNA (VRAD_LNC005230)
Source: RNAcentral